Molecule: ribosomal RNA, 89 nt
Filed under: uncultured Dinobryon
Lineage: Eukaryota; Chrysophyceae; Chromulinales
Description: partial Eukaryotic small subunit ribosomal RNA
Source: RNAcentral
AUGGUCCUCGCAGGCAUCAUUUGUGGAACGAUUUCACAAACCCCUGGGUUAGACACACCUACUAGAUGCAAUUACGCUUGGGUUUUCAU